UACGGAGGGUGCGAGCGUUAAUCGGAAUUACUGGGCGUAAAGGGCGCGUAGGUGGUUGUAUAAGUUAGCUGUGAAAUUCCUGGGCUUAACCUAGGAUGGUCAGCUAAUACUGUAUAGCUUGAGUAUGGGAGAGGGUAGUGGAAUUUCCGGUGUAGCGGUGAAAUGCGUAGAGAUCGGAAGGAACACCAGUGGCGAAGGCGGCUACCUGGCCUAGCACCGACGUUCAGGCACGAAAGCGUGGGGAGCAAACAGG
RNAcentral lists this ribosomal RNA (253 nucleotides) under uncultured bacterium. RNAcentral's name for it is "partial 16S ribosomal RNA". It matches the Rfam family "Bacterial small subunit ribosomal RNA", at positions 524 to 776 of the family's 1533-position model. The record is from RNAcentral.